Molecule: ribosomal RNA, 307 nt
Filed under: uncultured eukaryote
Lineage: Eukaryota
Description: partial 18S ribosomal RNA
Rfam family: Eukaryotic small subunit ribosomal RNA
Source: RNAcentral
CCCUUAGACGUUCUGGGCCGCACGCGCGCUACACUGACGAAGGCAACGAGCUUUCCUUUACCGAAAGGUACGGGUAAUCUUUUGAAACUUCGUCGUGCUGGGGAUAGAUCCUUGCAAUUUUUGAUCUUAAACGAGGAAUGCCUAGUAAGCGCAAGCCAUCAACUUGCGUUGAUUACGUCCCUGCCCUUUGUACACACCGCCCGUCGCUACUACCGAUUGAAUGGUUUAGUGAGGCCUUCGGAUCCGCGACUCGUUUGUGGAGAAGUUGGACAAACUCAGUCAUUUAGAGGAAGUAAAAGUCGUAACA